This 200-nucleotide ribosomal RNA is filed under the name uncultured bacterium. Its description in RNAcentral is "partial 16S ribosomal RNA". It matches the Rfam family "Bacterial small subunit ribosomal RNA", at positions 524 to 723 of the family's 1533-position model. The record is from RNAcentral.
UACGAAGGACCCAAGCGUUAUCCGGAUUUAUUGGGUUUAAAGGGUGCGUAGGCGGCUUAUUAAGUCAGUGGUGAAAGCCUGAAGCUCAACUUCAGAAUUGCCAUUGAUACUGAUGAGCUUGAGUAUAGUUGAGGUGGGCGGAAUGUGUCAUGUAGCGGUGAAAUGCUUAGAUAUGACACAGAACACCGAUUGCGAAGGCA